UUUCCGCACAUGUGCCCUCACCUACAAACAGAUAGUGGUUUGUCCUACCGCCUUCAUAUCUCGUCACCAGGUUCUCAAGUCGCUUCAGGGGUCACAACGUCCCUCGUCAAGAAGAGUACAGUCUGCUGCAUUUUACCUUGUGCUUCUGAGGGCGUUUACCAAGGUGGCCCAGCUGAAUAUCCCACGGGAGCCUGAUAAUGACCACUCCGAGCCAACUCGCUGGUGAG
Molecule: long non-coding RNA, 227 nt
Organism: Ornithodoros turicata
Lineage: Eukaryota; Metazoa; Arthropoda; Arachnida; Ixodida; Argasidae
Exons: 2
Source: RefSeq, a predicted model, not a curated record